This 498-nucleotide long non-coding RNA is filed under the name Rattus norvegicus (Norway rat). Its description in RNAcentral is "long non-coding RNA NONRATT020956". The record is from RNAcentral. Lineage: Eukaryota; Metazoa; Chordata; Mammalia; Rodentia; Muridae.
GUUUUAUUCCUUUUCUUUUGUGCUUCUUCAUUUCCAGGUUUUCUUUCCUCCUCUGAUCACAUUCUUCAAAGAGAGUUUCUUUACCUCAGAUCUAUCAGUUAUGAUCUCUUGUCUUGGAUUUUUUUUUUCUUUCUUUUUGUUAAAUUUGCUUUAAGAGUGCGAUGCCAUAUCAAGUCAACAUUGUUCUCUCACGGUGUACUCUAUAACAGGUGUGGGUGGGGUUUAUGGUUGGGAUACUAGGAAAGGCUAAAGUAGCAGGAUCGGCGUGAAUAAGAAAGAAAAGGUCUUUAGGAAAUCUGGGGGGAAGCACAUUGUAUUGACCAUACAAUGCUGAUGUGACGUAGCCGUUAAGUGUCAAGUGAUCUUUAAAAAAAAAAAAAACAGCAACAACCAUAACUUGUUCUGACUAGUUUGGACUCGGAUUUGAAGAUGGAUUGGAAAGAGGUUUUGAAUGCAAUUAGGUUAUGCUAUUUGGACAAUAAACUCACCUUGACCUAC